RNAcentral lists this long non-coding RNA (404 nucleotides) under Struthio camelus australis. Its description in RNAcentral is "lncRNA (ENSSCUG00000015567.1)". Lineage: Eukaryota; Metazoa; Chordata; Aves; Struthioniformes; Struthionidae. The record is from RNAcentral.
CACUAUGUUUGUUACUAGCUGAUUGGUGCAGUUGUUUUUUCUAAGAUAAUCAGCAUGUUCAAUCAAAAAGCUAAUAUGUGCAUUAUUGCUUUGCUGGUUUUUAAACCCUUUUCUCAUUAUAGGUAUUGAUCUUGAUUAAAAGCUGUUCUCCAGAUGUUUGGUUCCACUGACAUGAAGUGAUUCUCACCUUCUCUGUCUGUUGCCAGAGGGAAGGUAUCUUCGUUCAGAUGCAUUGAGUGACAUCGUACCCCAAAAGCAGCGGCAAGGAUCAAGCGAGAGGGGCACCGAAUGGGGCCAAGUAUGCCAAAAUCCUGCUGACUGCUGCCACUGCCAUUCUUGAAGGGUAGUUUGGGGUCUGUGAUGGUAGCCCGGAAGAGAAUGGGGCUGGGCUGGGAUGUUCUGUG